This 347-nucleotide long non-coding RNA is filed under the name Cicer arietinum (chickpea). Its description in RNAcentral is "long non-coding RNA (CARI_LNC003179)". Lineage: Eukaryota; Viridiplantae; Streptophyta; Magnoliopsida; Fabales; Fabaceae. The record is from RNAcentral.
AAUCCAGCUAGAAACUGGUGGCUACUUUCUUGGGUGAGAGGUCUCAACAAGAAAGAGUCGUACUUUGAUUUUGUGUUAGACUGCCGAGUGUCUACAAGGAUCAAAGGGUUGAUAGAAAGCCAGCUAGAAACUGGUGGCUACUUUCUUGGGUGAGAGUGCUCAACAAGAAAGAGUCGCACUGUGAUUCUGUGUUAGAUUGCCGAGUAUCUACAAGGAUCAGAGGGUGAUCAAUAGGAAAGAGAUCAUUAAGAUAGAUAGGUUUCGGGGAUGAAACUGGACAAUCUGUAAUUGAUUCUUUCUAUUGGAGAAGAAAAUCUGAAAUCCGAUUGGAUUAUCAGGACUGGAUG